UUUUUUUAUCGGUAAAUAAAUUUGUAUUGAUCAAAAUUGGGUAAAAUUACUCCGGGCAUACAAAGUAAAUCAUUACAAAGAUCUAAUGAUCUAGUGAUCCAAACCAAGUGACGGAAUAUAAUUCAAAAUAUUACAAACUUGGUUAAUAUAUCAAAAUCCUCUUUAGAGAACAACCGUAAGUAGCCAUUAACUUUCAAACAAGCAGGCUGCUGGAAAUCAAUGCAAGUAUCUGGACGAGACAAAUGCUGCCAUGAACCUUUGAUUGCAUUCAUGCAAAGUGGAUAGGCUUCAAUGAAACGUCAUUUUCUGUUGUAUAAUUCAAACAGCUGGAAGGCAGGCUGCUUGAAUUAAAAAUCUGUAGGGACCGAUGAUGCAGGCAAAUCUUAAAUGGCAGAAAGAAAGCAGCUGGACGGCAAGCUGCUUGCUGGCAAAGAUCUGUUGCACAUGGGACUGAAUCACUGCCUAACCAGGCUAGUGCUUAAAUUUUGGUCAAAAAGUUCAAAUUUUUUUGAAAUUUAUGCCAAAAAAGGAAACAUAUAACUGCAGAAACAGUCAACAUUACAAAAAUAUUGCAGGAGAUUUGUCUGGUAAACAAUUGAAAUUGAUAAGCCAGAAACAUUAAUUUUAAAUUUGGGAAACAAAAUGGGGGAAACGUUCCCAAGAAUGAAAACCGAAUCUAUGAGCAAGAACUUGAAUCUCCAAGAGUUCUCACCUUGAAUCUUCAAGAGGACAUAAAAACUACAUUUGGACGGUUUCAAAAGACCAAGAGUUAAACUAUAACCCAAGGAAUCAUAAAAAAUC
This 801-nucleotide long non-coding RNA is filed under the name Olea europaea subsp. europaea. The record is from RNAcentral. Lineage: Eukaryota; Viridiplantae; Streptophyta; Magnoliopsida; Lamiales; Oleaceae.